GCUCGUAGUUGGAUUUCUGGUAUGAUGCACCUUGUCCGCAGCGAAUACGCUUGUGAGUACUGGCGCGCGUCUGCCAUCCUUCUGGGGACCGUCUCUACCUUUCACUAGGCUGGAGUCGUGAUCCAGAUCGUUUACUUUGAAAAAAUUAGAGUGUUCAAAGCAGGCCUUUGCUGUGAAUACAUUAGCAUGGAAUAAUGAUCUAGGACUUCGGUUCUAUUUUGUUGGUUUCUAGCACUGGAGUAAUGAUUGAUAGGGAUAGUUGGGGGUGCUAGUAUUGGGCGGCCAGAGGUGAAAUUCUUGGAUUCGCUCAAGACUAACUUAUGCGAAAGCAUUCACCAAGGAUGUCUUCUUUAAUCAAGAACGAAAGUUGGGGGAUCGAAGAGGAUCAGAUACCCUCGUAGUCUCAAUCAUAAACUAUGCCAACUAGGGAUCGGUGAACUGUUGCAUUUUCGACUUCAUCGGCACCUUAUGAGAAAUCAAAGUCUUUGGGUUCCGGGGGGAGUAUGGUCGCAAGGCUGAAACUUAAAGGAAUUGACGGAAGGGUACCACCAGGAGUGGAGCCUGCGGCUUAAUUUGACUCAACACGGGAAAACUUACCAGGUCCAGACAUAGCUAGGAUUGACAGAUUGAAGAUCUUUCUUGAUUCUAUGGGUGGUGGUGCAUGGCCGU
RNAcentral lists this ribosomal RNA (669 nucleotides) under Chlorarachniales sp. RCC2353. RNAcentral describes it as "SSU rRNA". It matches the Rfam family "Eukaryotic small subunit ribosomal RNA", at positions 626 to 1291 of the family's 1831-position model. The record is from RNAcentral. Lineage: Eukaryota; Cercozoa; Chlorarachniophyceae.